Long non-coding RNA from Gadus macrocephalus (Pacific cod), 428 nucleotides. RefSeq lists it as uncharacterized. NCBI's taxonomy places the organism in Eukaryota, Metazoa, Chordata, Actinopteri, Gadiformes, Gadidae. The record is from RefSeq and is a predicted model, not a curated record. The transcript has 2 exons.
CAAAUACAGACAGCCUAUACAGUAGGCUAAUACAGUGCCCACCUCAGCAAAAGGUAAAAUGUAAAAAGAAGAUAUAAGCUACAUUUAAAAUACAGAUGCUGUAGCCUACAUAAAAAUACAGAUGCCACAUGAAAUAUGAAAAUAGGAUGCACUGUAUAAAUAUGCAAAACUAGGAUAUAACUAGGCUAUAAUGAGAAUACUUGGUUAACUUACAUCUGUGCAAUGACUAUCCUCCUAAAUUAAAUUAGUUAGAUGGAAAGAUUUUUGUCUAUGGAAUGAUCCUGUCACUUUACUGCCACACAUUGUGUGUGUCAGUAAAGUGAUGAGGUAGGAGAAUCCGUGUAUGGAUUGUUUUUUGGUUUUUCAGAUUUGGUUUUGAAACUGAAAAAGGGCAAAAGGAAUAAACAAAUAAACGGCAUUUGAUUUUG